Molecule: ribosomal RNA, 468 nt
Filed under: uncultured bacterium
Lineage: Bacteria
Description: partial 16S ribosomal RNA
Rfam family: Bacterial small subunit ribosomal RNA
Source: RNAcentral
GACGAACGCUGGCGGCGUGCUUAACACAUGCAAGUCGAACGGAAAGGCCCUGCUUUUGUGGGUUGCUCGAGUGGCGAACGGGUGAGUAACACGUGUGUAACCUGCCCUUGUCUUUGGGAUAUCAUCAGGAAACUGGGGCUAAUAUCGGAUAGGAGCUCCUGCUCCAUGGUGGGGGUUGGAGAGGUCCGGCGGUGGUGUAUGGACUCGCGGGUUAUCAGCUGCUUGGUGGAGUAGUGGCUUACCAGGGGUUUGACGGGUAGCCGGCCUGGGAGGGUGACCGGCCACAUUACGACUGAGAGACGCACCAGACUCGUACGGUAGGCAGUAGGCGAGAACAUUGCACAAUGAGGCGACGCCUGAUACAGAGGCGCCGGGUUCGGGAUGAUGGCUUACUGGUUGUGAACCGCUUUCGACUGAGCCGUGGCGUGAUUGACGGUAAUGGGUCAAAAAGCACCGGCUAACUACGUG